Camellia sinensis is the source of this 812-nucleotide non-coding RNA. The record is from RefSeq and is a predicted model, not a curated record. Lineage: Eukaryota; Viridiplantae; Streptophyta; Magnoliopsida; Ericales; Theaceae.
UAGAUUAACAAAGGCCGUUGGGGCUCACUAGUAUGACUAUUACUGAGAUAUCGGGGCUGUUUGGUAGAACUUAAAAGCUGCUUAUUUCAGUUUUUAGAUUAUUUUAAAUUGUUUUGGUGUGUUUGGUAGAGCUUAAAAUCACUUUUUGUAGCUUAAAUUAAGCUAAAAAAGCGAUUUUUGGCUGAGUGGGCUUGGGGGUGUUUCUGGAUUGAGCUUAAGCGGGAAGCUGAAAAAUUGAGAGAUAAAAUUACUUAAAUGCCCCUAGUCAAUCUCAACUAUUACCAAAAAUCUAACUAUAUAAACCCCAUAUUCAAACACUGUUCACUUGAGAGAGAGAGGAGAGGUGAUUUUCGGUGGGAGAUUUCCGGCGAGGAGGCGAUUUCCAGAGCUCUCUCUCUCUCUCACUCAUGAACGAGAACAAGAACAUAACCGGUGGAUUUCUGAUUCGAGGAUUGUAUGCGUAUCUAUAUCUCCGAAGAAAAUUUCUUUAGAGGAUGCCAUUUAAUGGAGUUCGCACUUUCCUUUACCUCCAAUCAUGUGUAUCUAUAUCUAUAUAAUUGUAUUUCCAGAUUAUUGUUUUUCUGGGUGUGAUUUCAAAGUGUAAAUUUUUGUGGGUUUUAAUGAAAGAUUAUUGCUUCAGAAGAACAAGUUACUUCAGAGGAUGCUUCAAAGGAUGCCAUUUUUGUGGGUAUUUCCAGAUUAUUGCUUCAGACGAACAAGUUACCAUUAUUGUUUUUCUAGACCACCGGCGGCGGCUCCGGCUCCGGCUCCGGUUCUGGCUCCGGCAAAUAGGGUUCCAUUUAAUUUUUUUU